Molecule: ribosomal RNA, 481 nt
Filed under: uncultured bacterium
Lineage: Bacteria
Description: bacterial SSU rRNA
Rfam family: Bacterial small subunit ribosomal RNA
Source: RNAcentral
AACGAACGUUGGCGGCAUGGAUUAGGCAUGCAAGUCGAACGAAUGCUAUUUGGGAAACUGGAUAGCGGAAGUGGCGAAAGGGGCAGUAAUACAUGGACAACCUACCCUGGGGUUGGGCAUAGCCGUUCUAACGAGCGGGUAAUUCCCAGAGAGUCGGCGAGGGGGCAUCUUCUUGCCGGGAAAGAAUUUCGCCUCGGGAGGGGUUCAUGAGCUAUCAGCUAGUUGGUGAGGUAACGGCUCACCAAGGCGUAGACGGCUAGCGGGUGUGAGAGCACGACCCGCGCCACUGGCACUGAGACACUGGCCAGACACCUACGGGUGGCUGCAGUCGAGGAUCUUCGUCAAUGGGCGCAAGCCUGAACGAGCGAUGCCGCGUGAGCGAUGAAGGCCUUCGGGUUGUAAAGCUCAAAAGGGGUGAGAAAGGGAAACUUGAUCGAACCCCAGUAAGCUCGGGCUAAGUUCGUGCCAGCCGCCGCAGUAA